UUUAGUGGGGAAUAACUGUUGGAAACGACAGCUAAUACCGCAUAAUAUUGCUGGAUAAUUUCCAGUAAUGAAAGGAGCUUUCAAGCUCCGCUGAUUGAUGAGGAUGCGGCGCAUUAGCUAGUUGGUAGGGUAAUGGCCUACCAAGGCAAUGAUGCGUAGCCGAUCUGAGAGGAUGAACGGCCACAUUGGGACUGAGACACGGCCCAAACUUCUACGGAAGGCAGCAGUAGGGAAUUUUUCACAAUGGGCGAAAGCCUGAUGGAGCAAUGCCGCGUGACUGAUGAAGGUCUUCGGAUUGUAAAGGUCUGUUGUAAGGGAAGAAAUGGUAAAACAGGAAAUGGUUUUAUCUAUGACGGUACCUUACCAGAAAGCCACGGCUAACUAUGUGCCAGCAGCCGCGGUAAUACAUAGGUGGCAAGCGUUAUCCGGAUUUAUUGGGCGUAAAGGGUGCGUAGACGGUUUUGCAAGUCUGAGGUUAAAUUUAGGAGCUCAACUCCUAAUCGCCUUGGAAACUACAAGACUAGAGUAUAGGAGAGGUUAGUGGAAUUCCAUGUGUAGCGGUGGAAUGUGUAGAUAUAUGGAGGAACACCAGUGGCGAACG
Molecule: ribosomal RNA, 601 nt
Filed under: uncultured Spiroplasma sp.
Lineage: Bacteria; Bacillati; Mycoplasmatota; Mollicutes; Entomoplasmatales; Spiroplasmataceae
Description: bacterial SSU rRNA
Rfam family: Bacterial small subunit ribosomal RNA
Source: RNAcentral